AGCAUAGCCGCGGUAAUACGAAGGGUGCAAGCGUUAAUCGGAAUUACUGGGCGUAAAGCGUGCGUAGGCGGUUUGUUAAGUCUGUUGUGAAAUCCCCGGGCUCAACCUGGGAAUGGCAAUGGAUACUGGCAAGCUAGAGUGUGUCAGAGGAUGGUGGAAUUCCCGGUGUAGCGGUGAAAUGCGUAGAGAUCGGGAGGAACAUCAGUGGCGAAGGCGGCCAUCUGGGACAACACUGACGCUGAGGCACGAAAGCGUGGGGAGCAAACAGGAUUAGAUACCCGCGUAGUCCCUGUCUCUUAUACC
RNAcentral lists this ribosomal RNA (303 nucleotides) under uncultured bacterium. RNAcentral's name for it is "partial 16S ribosomal RNA". It matches the Rfam family "Bacterial small subunit ribosomal RNA", at positions 510 to 808 of the family's 1533-position model. The record is from RNAcentral.